GACGAACGCUGGCGGCGUGCUUAACACAUGCAAGUCGAACGAUGAUUACAAGAGUUGAUGCUCCGGCGGAAGUCUAUUUUUGUUUGUUGGCGGACGGGUAAUUACCCCUUGACAACCUUACCUCUUACGAAGGGAUACCCCCGGAAACCCCUGAUUAAUCCCAUAUAACAUUUCAACUCAGCUUUUCUAUUCGAUCAAUGCUAAGUCGGUAAUGGAUGGGCUCGCGUUCCAUUUACCAGAUGGUAAGGUAACAGCCCACCAUAGUAACGAUUGGUAACCGGACUGAGAGGGUGGACGGUCACACUGGAACUGAGACACGGUCCAGACUCCUACGGGAGGCAGCAGUGGGGGAUAUUGCACAAUGGAGGGAACUCUGAUGCAGCGACGCCGCGUGAGUGAUGAAGGAAUUCGUUACGUAAAACUCUAUUAUAAGGGAAGAAAAGGACGGUACCAGAGGAGAAAGCCCCGGCUAAAUACGUG
RNAcentral lists this ribosomal RNA (480 nucleotides) under uncultured bacterium. Its description in RNAcentral is "partial 16S ribosomal RNA". It matches the Rfam family "Bacterial small subunit ribosomal RNA", at positions 28 to 507 of the family's 1533-position model. The record is from RNAcentral.